Molecule: ribosomal RNA, 244 nt
Filed under: uncultured bacterium
Lineage: Bacteria
Description: partial 16S ribosomal RNA
Rfam family: Bacterial small subunit ribosomal RNA
Source: RNAcentral
GAUCAUGGCUCAGGAUGAACGCUGGCGGCGUGCUUAACACAUGCAAGUCGAACGGACUUUAUAUGAAGCCUAGCGAUUAUAAAGUUAGUGGCGGACGGGUGAGCAACGCGUGAAUAACCUGCCCUGUACCGGGGGACAACAGUUGGAAACGACUGCUAAUACCGCAUAAGCGCACGGUUCCGCAUGGAACAGUGUGAAAAACUCCGGUGGUACAGGAUGGAUCCGCGUCUGAUUAGGUAGUUGG